UACGUAGGGGGCUAGCGUUGUCCGGAUUUAUUGGGCGUAAAGAGCGUGUAGGCGGCCAGGUAGGUCUGCUGUGAAAACUCGAGGCUCAACCUCGAGACGUCGGCGGAAACCAUCUGGCUAGAGUCCGGAAGAGGGGAGUGGAAUUCCUGGUGUAGCGGUGAAAUGCGCAGAUAUCAGGAAGAACACCCGUGGCGAAGGCGGCUCUCUGGGACGGUACUGACGCUGAGGAGCGAAAGUGUGGGGAGCGAACAGG
RNAcentral lists this ribosomal RNA (253 nucleotides) under uncultured bacterium. RNAcentral's name for it is "partial 16S ribosomal RNA". It matches the Rfam family "Bacterial small subunit ribosomal RNA", at positions 524 to 776 of the family's 1533-position model. The record is from RNAcentral.